RNAcentral lists this ribosomal RNA (494 nucleotides) under uncultured bacterium. RNAcentral's name for it is "partial 16S ribosomal RNA". It matches the Rfam family "Bacterial small subunit ribosomal RNA", at positions 28 to 507 of the family's 1533-position model. The record is from RNAcentral.
GACGAACGCUGGCGGCGUGCUUAACACAUGCAAGUCGAACGGUGAAGCGCCUUCCUUUUUGGUGGGUGUGGAUGAGUGGCGAACGGGUGAGUAACACGUGAGUAACCUGCCCCCUUCUUCUGGAUAACCGCAUGAAAGUGUGGCUAAUACGGGAUAUUCUGGGUCUGUCGCAUGAUGGGUCUGGGAAAGAUAUUGUUUCGGUGGGGGAUGGGCUCGCGGCCUAUCAGCUUGUUGGUGGGGUGAUGGCCUACCAAGGCGGUGACGGGUAGCCGGCCUGAGAGGGUGGACGGUCACACUGGGACUGAGACACGGCCCAGACUCCGACGGGAGGCAGCAGGGGGGAAUAUUGCACAAUGGGCGCAAGCCUGAUGCAGCGACGCCGCGUGAGGGAUGGAGGCCUUCGGGUUGUGAACCUCUUUCGCCAGUGAAGCAGGCCUGCCUCGUUUGUGGGUGGGUUGACGGUAGCUGGAGAAGAAGCGCCGGCUAACUACGUG